This 1272-nucleotide long non-coding RNA is filed under the name Pan paniscus (pygmy chimpanzee). RNAcentral describes it as "lncRNA (ENSPPAG00000044731.1)". Lineage: Eukaryota; Metazoa; Chordata; Mammalia; Primates; Hominidae. The record is from RNAcentral.
CUUCUGAUUUUGCACUAAAAUACCUGGUAAGACACCAAAAACAGAAAAAUCAUCAAAAGACCAAGAACUAGUACUGACAGUUGACUUAUUGUUUGAAUCUAGGAGACUCCUCCCUCUCUGUGGUGUAUAAUACUAGAUUGUAAAUGGAAACCCUGAUUCAACUCAAUAUGAUUGCUUAAACUAGGAAAAAUGAAAACAAAAACCUCUUAUCUUUCCCACUCUUGUUUCCUGGGUUCACAACGGUAAGUUUUGCCCCAAGCAAAGAAUUGAGUCCCUUCUCUGCUUUGGGGGAAUUGCUUUUAACAACAGGUCUGACAUCUCACUCAUUGCCUCUCUUUUUGCAUCCAAGCAGAGAAUACAACAUUGAGGCUUACAAUGACCCUGAAUACACACUCAUUCCUGCUAAAAGGUGUUGCAAGUCACAAGAGAAGAGGAUACACAUGCACUGAUUACCUAAAAGAUGUGGAAUGAGAAACAAAGCUCCAAAUUUGGAAGCAGCAGUGAAACUCCACAGGUAAGAAAUAAUGUCAAUCAUGGCCCAUUCCAUUUACCUGGUUGGACACUUGGAUGGUUUAUCUCAGCAGGUUUCUCAUCAGAGAACAUCUGUUACUUUUUCCAAAUCCCUGUAAUGAAGCCAGCAUUUAGUUUCAACUCUCUGGAAAAAGGCACAAUUAUUUUAACCACAAGCCUGUAUCUCCUCAACUUCCCAUUUAUUUUAGAAAUGUAGGUGGGAGGAAAUUUUUUUUUUUUUUUGUGAGACAGAGUUUCACUCUUGUUGCCCAGGCUGGGGUGCAAUGGCGCGAUCUCAGCUCGCUGCAACUUCCGCCUCCCAAGUUCAGGUGAUUCUCCUGCCUCAGCCUCCGAGUAGCUGGUAUUAAAGGCAUAUGCCACCACACCCAGCUAAUUUUUUGUAUUUUUAGUAGAGAUGGGGUUUCACCAUGUUGGCCAGGCUGAUCUCAAACUCCUGACCUCAGGUGAUCCCCCACUCUCAGCCUCUUGAAGUGCUGGGAUUAGAGGCCCGAGCCACCACACCCUGCGGGAGGAAACAUUUUUUAAGUGCCUGCUCUAGAGUUCACAUGUGUUUCUUUCAUUUAAUGCCUCUUUUACAGAUAGGAGAACUGGCAGUCAGAGAGAUCAAGCAUUUCUCCCAAGGUCCAUAUAGUACAGAUAGGAGAACUGGCACCCAGAGAGGUCAAGCAUUUCACCCAAAGUCCAUAUAGUACAGAUAGGAGAACUGGCACCCAGAGAGAUCAAGCAUUUCACCUAAGGUCC